AUGACACCUGAUCAUAUCUAAAUAUCUGUAGACUUAAGUGAAUAUAUAAAUACGUGAAGGUCUAUCAGGCUUGCAUCAGAAUCUAUUGACGUUUGGUCAGGACAUUUCUCUCCUUCAGCAGUCAAGUCAGUUCAACAGACAUAUACAACAAUGGUCAAAACUCUGUUCGUUGUUUUCCUUUUGGGACUAGUGGUUGCAGCAUCUGCAGUUACCAACCCUGCCGCACAAUGUUACACUCUAUGUGAAACUCAGUUCCAUGAAUGUCGCAAAACAAACUCUAAGGAUGAUUGUUGCACCAGUUUCAAGAGCUGUUUCAAAACUGCCUGUUCAGCCGACACGUUUUUCUGCCCUCCUUCGAAAGAUGACGCUGCUGAAGGUGACGAUGUCUGGGGAAUGGAAGGCGCUUUUAAAAGGCCAAAAAACGAGUGAAGUACCAAGCAGUACCUGCCGUAUAAAUUUCACUGUCAUUUCUAUAAUCAGUACUGAAUGCCAAUACAGUUACCUUCCAUCUUCUCCAUAAAUGUAGAAUUUUUUUUUAUAUAAUAAUAAUAAUAAUAAUAUAU
Molecule: long non-coding RNA, 563 nt
Organism: Octopus sinensis (East Asian common octopus)
Lineage: Eukaryota; Metazoa; Mollusca; Cephalopoda; Octopoda; Octopodidae
Exons: 3
Source: RefSeq, a predicted model, not a curated record